AUAGGAAAAACCCUAACUUCCUAUUACAGAAGCAGUCCCUAACCUGUUGGCCGUUUCCUAUCUUAUCUUUAGCCUCCUAUCUUAUCUUAACUUAGGUGAUCCUAACUGUUCUUUUAAUCCGAUUUUUCGAUCGGCAAUCGUCACGUGAUGUCUGGUUCUGCACAUAAUGCGCACGAGAUUGAUAUAAGGCUUAAUAAUAACGGCAAUAAUAACGGUUAAUAAUAACGGCAAGCUUGUAGCAGUAGUACGGUCAUGGCGGGGAUUGCUACGGAAAACAAGAAGAGGAGGGGUUUUAACUUUGCCAACGACGAGCUGGAGGCAUUAGUUCAGGUGGUGGACGAAAGGAAAAGUAUUUUAUUCGGCAAAUUUUCCCCAAAUUUAACGUCGCGGAUCAAAGCAAACAGAUGGCAAGAGGUGUCGGACGCUGUCUCAGCGGUUUGUGGGGUACUGAGGACGGUGGACAGUAUAAAGAAAAAGUGGUCGACCAUAGCGAGUGACGCCAAGACCAGAGGGACGCUACAGAAGAGGGACCAGGCAAAGACGGGGGCUGGUAUGCCAGAAGUGAAGCCUAUAACCAUGCUAGAGGAGAAGAUCCUGGCCACCAUGGGUCAAGUUUACACCCAAGGCAUUUCAACCGGCAUAGAGGUGGGCCUGCCUGAGGAGAUCCUUGAGAACGUCAGUGCCGAGGUGUCUGAAUCAACUGAGGUCAUACUGACGUUGAUGGAUUCAGAGUGUGACAGCAGGACUCUGCCAACAGCAAUAAUUAUCCCAUCACCUGGCAAGUUGAUGCUCACUGUUUAAAUAUUUAGAUAAAUAUGAGGUGCAUUUUUACAACGACACUGUCUCAACUGUAGCUACUCCAUUUAUGAACAGUUGAGGUUUAUAAUAGGAAGGCUACUGUUCAAGGAAAAUUGUCUUGAUUCACAGUUUAAAUUCUUCUCUACAGCUAAAAAGAAGAAACACAUUAGCCUACAAGAGGAGCUUCUGGAGUUGGAGAAGGAGAAGCUGUUGGUGAUGCGAGAGACACUAAAUGUUGAGAAGGAGAGACUGAAAUUGGAUAAAGAAAAAUUUGAAUUCAUGAAGGAGUAUUUUAUUGACCACGGGAACAAUAUUGUGAACUUAUUUGAACAAUGAAGUGAAAUAAUUUGUACACUUAUUCAAGUUUGAUUGAGUUAAACUGUUAAUUUAUUUUUUAUAUUGAAUUAAAUAUUUUACAUUAAAUUGGUAUGUUUUCUUUUUAAUUAUCUUAUCUAAAAUAAUGUGCAAUAAGAUUGUUUCUGGCAGUUCUACCAGUCUGUGCACCAUCAUGUAUGCCAUCAUGGCCUUCCUCCUCAUCUUCAACCAUGGCCGGGACGUCCUUAGGGUCCGGGAGAUUAGCAAACCUGCAUAUGUUUUGCAACACAGCAGUGGCCUUCACGAACAUCACUGCUCUCUCAGGGGAAUAUUGAAGAUAUCCCCCACUCAUAUCAUGGCAUCUCCAUCUACAACAUCAAAAGUUAAUCAGUUUGUUUGCUUACAAUGCUUUCCUUUUUGGUGUGA
This 1539-nucleotide long non-coding RNA is filed under the name Gadus morhua (Atlantic cod). Its description in RNAcentral is "lncRNA (ENSGMOG00000026623.1)". Lineage: Eukaryota; Metazoa; Chordata; Actinopteri; Gadiformes; Gadidae. The record is from RNAcentral.